Molecule: RNA transcript, 2088 nt
Organism: Carlito syrichta (Philippine tarsier)
Lineage: Eukaryota; Metazoa; Chordata; Mammalia; Primates; Tarsiidae
Gene: SLC1A7
Gene name: solute carrier family 1 member 7
Exons: 11
Source: RefSeq, a predicted model, not a curated record
GUGGCUUCCCUCUGGGGCGGCCACACAGGCAUGGCCGUGGGGCUGGCGACGGGUGCUUAGCAACUCUGACCACCUGCCUGCUGAGGAGCCAGAGCCCUCAGCCAGACCCUGUGCCCCCAGCUGGCCUCACAUGCAUGGAAUGGUGCUGUGCCCCUUGCCAGCAGGCCAGGCUCGCCAUGGUGCCAGGUGCCAUCCUGGCGCGGGGGAGGGACGUGUGCAGGCGGAACGGACUGCUCAUCCUGUCUGUGCUGUCUGUCAUCGUGGGCUGCCUUCUCGGCUUCUUCCUGAGGACCCGGCGCCUCUCACCACAGGAAAUUAGUUACUUCCAGUUCCCUGGAGAGCUUUUGAUGAGGAUGCUGAAGAUGCUGAUUCUACCGCUGGUGGUCUCCAGCUUGAUGUCUGGCCUCGCCUCUCUGGAUGCCAAGACCUCCAGCCGCCUGGGCAUCCUCACCGUGGCAUACUACCUAUGGACCACCUUCAUGGCUGUCAUCGUGGGCAUCUUCAUGGUCUCCAUCAUCCAUCCGGGUGGCGCGGCCCAGAAGGAGACCACAGAGCAAAGCGGGAAGCCCAUCAUGAGCUCGGCCGACGCUCUGCUGGACCUCAUUCGGAACAUGUUCCCAGCCAACCUGGUGGAAGCCACGUUCAAACAGUACCGCACCAAGACCACCCCAGUCAUCAAGUCCCCCAAGGUGGUGGUGGAGGAGGCCCCUCCUCGGCGGAUCCUCAUCUACGGGGUCCAGGAGGAGAACGGUUCUCGAGUGCAGAACUUCGCCCUGGACCUGACCCCGCCGCCCGAGGUCGUCUACAAGUCAGAGCCUGGCACCAGCGAGGGCAUGAACGUGCUGGGCAUCGUCUUCUUCUCCGCCACCAUGGGCAUCAUGCUGGGCCGCAUGGGUGACAGCGGGGCCCCCCUGGUCAGCUUCUGCCAGUGCCUCAACGAGUCUGUCAUGAAGAUCGUGGCGGUGGCCGUGUGGUACUUCCCCUUCGGCAUCGUGUUCCUCAUCGCUGGCAAGAUCCUGGAGAUGGACGACCCCAGGGCCGUGGGCAAGAAGCUGGGCUUCUACGCGGUCACGGUGGUGUGCGGCCUCGUGCUCCACGGGCUCUUCAUCCUGCCUCUGCUCUACUUCUUCAUUACCAAGAAGAACCCCGUCGUCUUCAUCCGUGGCGUCCUGCAGGCCCUGCUCAUCGCGCUGGCCACCUCCUCCAGGAAGAGUCUCAUGAGGGCACAGCACGGUGCCUGGCACAUAGUAGGUGCCCUGCCAGGGUCACCCCCUUCCUGCCCAGAGCCACCCGCAUGGGUGCAUGCAUGCACCCCUGCCGGGGGAGCUGCCGGGGUGGGGUGAGCGUCCUGCCGGUGGCCCUGCCAUCCUGAAGGAGGGUGCUGGGCAGACACUGGCCCCUCUGCCCGUAGCUCAGCCACCCUGCCCAUCACCUUCAAGUGCCUGCUAGAGAACAACCACAUAGACCGGCGCAUCGCACGCUUUGUGCUGCCUGUGGGCGCCACCAUCAACAUGGACGGCACCGCGCUCUACGAGGCUGUGGCCGCCAUCUUCAUUGCCCAGGUCAACAACUAUGAGCUGGACUUCGGCCAGAUCAUCACCAUCAGCAUCACAGCCACCGCGGCCAGCAUUGGGGCCGCUGGCAUCCCCCAGGCCGGACUCGUCACCAUGGUCAUCGUGCUCACCUCCGUGGGACUGCCCACCGACGACAUCACCCUCAUCAUCGCCGUCGACUGGGCUCUGGACCGUUUCCGUACCAUGAUUAAUGUACUCGGUGACGCGCUGGCUGCAGGGAUCAUGGCCCACAUCUGCCGGAAGGACUUUGCUCGGGACACGGCCGCCGAGAAGCUGCCACCCUGCGAGACCAAGCCAGUGAGCCUCCAGGAGAUCGUGGCGACCCAGCAGAACGGCUGCGUGAAGAGUGUGGCCGAGGCCUCGGAGCUGACCCUGGGCCCCGCCUGUCCCCACCACGUCCCAGUGCAAGUGGAGCAGGACGAGGAGCCGGCCGCCGCCAGCCUGGACCACUGUACCAUUGAAAUCAGCGAGCUCGAGACCAACGUCUGAGCUGUGAAGCUGCAGGGGCGGGCGA